Molecule: ribosomal RNA, 547 nt
Filed under: uncultured bacterium
Lineage: Bacteria
Description: bacterial SSU rRNA
Rfam family: Bacterial small subunit ribosomal RNA
Source: RNAcentral
UGGGGAAUUCUGGACAAUGGGGAAACCCUGAUCCAGCCAUGCCGCGUGCGGGAAGAAGGCCUUCGGGUUGUAAACCGCUUUUGUCAGGGAAGAAAUCCUCUGGGCUAAUACCUCGGGGGGAUGACGGUACCUGAAGAAUAAGCACCGGCUAACUACGUGCCAGCAGCCGCGGUAAUACGUAGGGUGCGAGCGUUAAUCGGAAUUACUGGGCGUAAAGCGUGCGCAGGCGGUUGUGCAAGACAGGUGUGAAAUCCCCGGGCUUAACCUGGGAACUGCACUUGUGACUGCACGGCUGGAGUACGGCAGAGGGGGAUGGAAUUCCGCGUGUAGCAGUGAAAUGCGUAGAUAUGCGGAGGAACACCGAUGGCGAAGGCAGUCCCCUGGGCCUGUACUGACGCUCAUGCACGAAAGCGUGGGGAGCAAACAGGAUUAGAUACCCUGGUAGUCCACGCCCUAAACGAUGUCAACUGGUUGUUGGGAAGGUUCCUUCUCAGUAACGUAGCUAACGCGUGAAGUUGACCGCCUGGGGAGUACGGCCGCAAGGUUG